RNAcentral lists this non-coding RNA (45 nucleotides) under Schistosoma curassoni. Lineage: Eukaryota; Metazoa; Platyhelminthes; Trematoda; Strigeidida; Schistosomatidae. The record is from RNAcentral.
AUCUUGCUAAAGAGUGCCAAAUAGUACGAAACCCGGGUCCAGGAU